This 250-nucleotide ribosomal RNA is filed under the name uncultured bacterium. Its description in RNAcentral is "partial 16S ribosomal RNA". It matches the Rfam family "Bacterial small subunit ribosomal RNA", at positions 524 to 773 of the family's 1533-position model. The record is from RNAcentral.
UACGUAGGUGGCAAGCGUUGUCCGGAAUUACUGGGUGUAAAGGGCGUGUAGGCGGGAAGGCAAGUCAGAUGUGAAAUUCCGGGGCUCAACCCCGGCGCUGCAUCUGAAACUGUCUUUCUUGAGUGCUGGAGAGGAAAGCGGAAUUCCUAGUGUAGCGGUGAAAUGCGUAGAUAUUAGGAGGAACACCAGUGGCGAAGGCGGCUUUCUGGACAGUAACUGACGCUGAGGCGCGAAAGCGUGGGGAGCAAAC